Molecule: long non-coding RNA, 484 nt
Organism: Branchiostoma floridae (Florida lancelet)
Lineage: Eukaryota; Metazoa; Chordata; Leptocardii; Amphioxiformes; Branchiostomatidae
Exons: 2
Source: RefSeq, a predicted model, not a curated record
CUCGCGGUGCUGUUCGCUGUUGCCAUGGCAACUAGUAUCGAUGACGAUGUUCUUCAGUUGAAGCGGCAGAUUCUGAAGGACGUCUAGGACAGAAACCAGGAGGAGAUUGUCGAGCCGGGCCCCACGUGCCAUACAUGCGCAGCUGAUGCAGAUUGUGCCAAGCUGGAAAAAUCUAAUCGUCACGCCGAAAAACCGUCUUCAGAGACAAAAGAUACCGAACGAUAGAAAGUGAUUUCAGCAUGUUUCUUUUGUCUCUCUCUCAGCAAGGCGGUCUUCACUCACAGUAUUGCAUGGUUCACAGAAGGACUGUACUUCGGUAGGUAGCCGAGUGGAGCUCGAAGGCCCAAGAGAGGCACCGACUCAGCUUAAAGAUGUUUCGUCUUAAUCUCCUUACCUUAGUCUGUCUGGGACCUCCCCGAGGGAAUUUAUGUACCUAAAGUCAAGAAAUUUCGGGAUUAAAGGGAAAUAAAAAUGGUGCUCCUCG